This 597-nucleotide ribosomal RNA is filed under the name Triticum aestivum (bread wheat). Its description in RNAcentral is "partial small subunit ribosomal RNA". The record is from RNAcentral. Lineage: Eukaryota; Viridiplantae; Streptophyta; Magnoliopsida; Poales; Poaceae.
AUGAAGCAUCAAGCUGAUCGCAAGCGGACAGAGCGCGAAUUCCCCAUUGGCGACCAAGUGUUAUUGAAGCUUCAGCCAUACGUUCAAUCAUCCGUUGUGAGCAGGCCGUGCCCCAAGCUUGCUUACAAGUUCUUUGGACCUUACAAGAUCAUUGGCCGCGUCGGAUCUCUCGCCUACAAGCUGGAAUUGCCUACUGGGAGUCAGAUUCACCCUGUCUUUCACGUCUCGCAGCUCAAGCCAUUCACUGUUGAUUACUCGCCCGUCUUCAAUCAGCUGCCAGCACCACCGGAUCUCACAGUCGGUGACCUGAUUCCACAAGCAAUCCUCGAGCGCAGACUUGUCAAGAAAGGUAACGCGGCAAUUCCUCAAGUGCUCGUUCAUUGGCGUACUCUGUCUCCGGCAAGCGCAACAUGGGAGAACUACAACGUCCUCAAGCAGCGAUUUCCCGAGGUCGACCUAGCCGAGGGGGAUCCAUCUCAAGAAGGGGCGAAUGUCACGCACUCCUCGCCAUCUAACCAGCCUGACGAGGAGGCGGACAGCGAGGCACCAGUGCCACAGCGGGAGGAAUCAGAGAGCCAAGAAGAUGGAGAAGAGUAG